Molecule: ribosomal RNA, 301 nt
Filed under: uncultured bacterium
Lineage: Bacteria
Description: partial 16S ribosomal RNA
Rfam family: Bacterial small subunit ribosomal RNA
Source: RNAcentral
CAGUCGCCACGGUAAUACAGAGGGUGCGAGCGUUAAUCGGAUUUACUGGGCGUAAAGCGUGCGUAGGCGGCUUCUUAAGUCGGAUGUGAAAUCCCUGAGCUUAACUUAGGAAUUGCAUUCGAUACUGGGAAGCUAAAGUAUGGGAGAGGAUGGUAGAAUUCCAGGUGUAGCGGUGAAAUGCGUAGAGAUCUGGAGGAAUACCGAUGGCGAAGGCAGCCAUCUGGCCUAAUACUGACGCUGAGGUACGAAAGCAUGGGGAGCAAACAGGAUUAGAUACCCCAGUAGUCCCUGUCUCUUAUAC